GACGAACGCUGGCGGCGUGCUUAACACAUGCAAGUCGAACGGAAAGGCCCUGCUUUUGUGGGGUGCUCGAGUGGCGAACGGGUGAGUGACACGUGAGUAAACUGUCCUUGACUUUGGGAUAAAUUCAGGAAACUGGGGCUAAUACCGGAUAGGAGCUCCUGCUGCAUGGUGGGGGUUGGAAAGAUUCGGCGGUGGGGGCUGGACUCGCGGGUUAUCAGCUUGUUGGUGGGGUAGUGGCAUACAAAGGGUUUGACGGGUAGCCGGCCUGGGAGGGUGACCGGCCACAUUGGGACUGCGGUACGGCGCAGACUGCUACGGGAGGCAACAGUGGGAAAUAUUGCGCAGUGGGCGGGAGUCUGAGACAGCAGCGUCGCGUGCGUGAUGACGGCCUUCGGGUUGUGAACCGAUUUCGCCUGAGACAAAGCGUGAGUGACGGUAAUGGGUAAAGAAGCACCGGCUAACUACGUG
This 468-nucleotide ribosomal RNA is filed under the name uncultured bacterium. Its description in RNAcentral is "partial 16S ribosomal RNA". It matches the Rfam family "Bacterial small subunit ribosomal RNA", at positions 28 to 507 of the family's 1533-position model. The record is from RNAcentral.